RNAcentral lists this ribosomal RNA (625 nucleotides) under Glomeromycotina sp. RNAcentral's name for it is "eukaryotic LSU rRNA". It matches the Rfam family "Eukaryotic large subunit ribosomal RNA", at positions 86 to 622 of the family's 3401-position model. The record is from RNAcentral. Lineage: Eukaryota; Fungi; Glomeromycota.
ACGGCGAGUGAGCGGGAAGAGCACAAAUUUUAAAUCUACCUGGGUUUUCCAGGUCGAGUUGUAAUUUGAAGAAACGUUUUUUACGUUCCGGGUUGGAUUAAAUCCUUUGGGAUAAGGUAUCAUGGAGGGUGAGAAUCCCGUGUAUACCAACCACUGGAAUGUUAUUAAUACGAUUUCUAAGAGUCGAGUUGUUUGGGAAUGCAGCUCUAAAUGGGUGGUAAAUUUCACCUAAUGCUAAAUAUAAGCGAGAGACCGAUAGUGAACAAGUACCGUGAGGGAAAGAUGAAAAGAACUUUGAAAAGAGAGUUAAAUAGUACGUGAAAUUGUUGAAAGGGAAACGGUUGAAGUCAGUCAUGCCGGUGGGAAUCAACUUAGGGGAAACUCUAGGUGCACUUCUUCGCUUGGCAGGUUAGCGUCGAUUUUGGAUGUCAUAAAAUGACUGGGGGAAGGUAGCUCUUUCGGGAGUGUUAAGCCCUUAGUAGAUGUGAUGUUCGGGAUCGAGGAUUGCAACGGAUACCCUUUGGGCUAGCCGCCUGGUCUCUAAUACGAAGUUGGGUUAUGGAUAGCAUGCUAACCAUGAUCUGAUUUUCGGUUAAAAGAUUAGAGUGAGCGUAAAUUCGUAAGG